UCGGGAAUUUUGCGCAAUGGACGAAAGUCUGACGCAGCAACGCCGCGUGAGGGAUGACGGCCUUCGGGUUGUAAACCUCUUUUGUCAGGGAAGAUCAUGACGGUACCUGACGAAUAAGCCACGGCUAACUACGUGCCAGCAGCCGCGGUAAUACGUAGGUGGCAAGCGUUGUCCGGAUUUACUGGGCGUAAAGAGCGCGCAGGCGGUCGUUCAAGUCGCGUGUGAAAGCCCCCGGCUCAACUGGGGAGGGUCACGCGAUACUGAUCGACUCGAAGGCAGGAGAGGGUAGUGGAAUUCCCGGUGUAGUGGUGAAAUGCGUAGAUAUCGGGAGGAACACCAGUGGCGAAGGCGACUACCUGGCCUGUUCUUGACGCUGAGGCGCGAAAGCUAGGGGGAGCAAACGGGAUUAGAUACCCCGGUAGUCCUAGGCCGUAAACGAUGGACACUAGGUGUUGGUGGUAUCAACCCCGCCAGUGCCGAAGCUAACGCAUUAAGUGU
This 498-nucleotide ribosomal RNA is filed under the name uncultured Acidobacteriota bacterium. RNAcentral describes it as "bacterial SSU rRNA". It matches the Rfam family "Bacterial small subunit ribosomal RNA", at positions 355 to 867 of the family's 1533-position model. Lineage: Bacteria; Pseudomonadati; Acidobacteriota. The record is from RNAcentral.